AUGUUCGCGAAGCGCUUCCUGCAGAAGAAGCUGCACCAGGGAGGAGGGGGAGAAAAAGGAGGAGGCGGUGGAGGAGGAGGAGGGGCGGCCGGCGAUGUGGCCCAGCUGGACGCGCAGAUCGCGCUCCACUACGGCGUCCCCUACGCCGCCUCCGUCAUGGCGUUCGACCCCGUGCAGCGGCUCCUCGCCGUCGGGACGCUGGAUGGGAGGAUAAAAAUCUUUGGAGGUGAUAAUAUCGAAGGCAUCCUCAUAUCGCCAAAGAGUAUGCCAUACAAGUAUCUUCAGUUUAUACAAAACCAGGGGCUACUAAUUGCAGUUUCUAAUGAGAAUGAAAUCCAGGUGUGGAAUCUUGAAUUCAGGCAGCUAUUUCAUUCUUCCCAGUGGGACACCAAUAUAACUGCUUUUUCAGUCAUAGAGGGGACCUUUCUGAUGUACCUUGGAGAUGAGAAUGGUCUGCUUUCUGUAUUAAAGUAUGAUGUAUAUGAUGGGAAGCUUCAAAAGAUGCCUUACAAUGUUUCUAUACAUUCCUUAGCUGAAGCAGCUGGUGUUCCGUUGCUUGAUACUCAACCUAUCGUUGGAAUACUGCCUCAACCUAACACCUUGGGCACCAGGGUGCUAAUUGCAUACGAGAAAGGAUUCUUAGUUCUUUGGGAUGUGUCAGAGGACCAUGCAGUUGCUGUUCGCGGCUACGGGGAUUUGCAUAUGAAGGGUCAAAUCACUGGCGCUCAAACACAUGCCAGUGAAGAUCAAAUAGAUAAUGUUGACGAGAAUGAGGAAGAGAGAGAAAUUUGCUCUCUUUGUUGGGCAUCGAGAGGGGGUUCAACUGUUGCUGUUGGCUAUAUAACUGGAGACAUACUUCUAUGGGAUAUGACUGCAGUAUCCUCUAGACAAGGCAAACAAACUGAUGUUUCGUCUAACGUUGUUAAGCUGCAGCUGGCUUCUGGGAGUCGCAGGCUUCCUGUUAUUGUCUUGCACUGGUCUGCUGGGUCAGCAAAAGACACCACUAAAGGUGGGAAACUUUUUGUAUACGGUGGCGAUGAUAUGGGGUCUGAAGAAGUUCUGACGGUUCUUAGUCUGGAAUCAUCUAAUGGAUUAGAGUCAGUAAGAUGUGCGUCGCGGGUGGACCUCAAACUUGAUGGAUCCUUUGCUGAUAUGAUUCUUAUUCCAGAUACUGGGGUUCCAGAUAAAACACAAACUUCUGCACUUUUUAUAUUGACAAAUCCUGGACAGUUAAAUUUCUAUGAUGGUGGUGCUCUAUUUUCUGCACGGAAAUCAGAAGAGGAAUAUGCUCAGCCUGAGGCACAGAAAUUUCCAGUCGUAGUUCCAACAAUUGAUCCCAGCAUAACAGUUACGAAUAUGUAUUCACUAACUGGGAGAGAGCAUCCAAGUAUUUCACUGAAGAAAUUUUGUGCUAGGCAAAUUGUCGCACCUCCAAUAUCAGGGAAUAUGAAAUGGCCUUUGACUGGUGGGGUUCCUAGUGAAAUGUCACUGAAGGAAGAUCAUGCAGUUGAAAGAAUAUAUGUUGCAGGCUAUCAAGAUGGUUCUGUGAGAAUAUGGGAUGCAACUUUUCCUAUUCUGAUGCCAAUGUUUGUCUUGGAUGCAAAGGUGCCUGAUGUUAUUUUGGAUGGAGCAAAUGCCUCUGUAUCAUCGCUGGCUUUUUGUUCAUUAAACAUGACUUUUGCUGUUGGCACAACAAGUGGUCUGGUCCGCAUGUAUAAACUUCAAGAGAACAGUGGGGAUUCCAGCUUUCACUUUGUGAGUGGAUCUAAGCAGGAAGUUCAUGCUGUUCAUCAUGGGAGAGGAUUCCAUUGCCAUGUUGCCUUUAUGGCAUCAAAUUCCCCCGUGCGUUCUCUCAGAUUUACAUCUUCAGGAGAGGCCCUUGCAGUAGGGUAUCAAAAUGGCCAGGUGGCAAUGUUUGAUGCGAGUCAACUGUCCGUGAUAUUCUCUGUGGAUUGUACAUCAGGAACAAAUUCUCCUGUGGUUUCAGUAAGCAUCUACAGUGUAGGUGCAUCUGCUGCAAAAGCAGGCCCGUCCCAGAAAGAGAUUGCUACAAAUGCAAAAUUUCCAACAGAUGUUGUACUUUCCUUAAGUAAGGAUGCACGUCUUACUGUAGUUGACAGCACAAGUGGUCUGAUCAUAAAUUCACUUCUGCUAGAUGAGAAGCAAUGUUCUGCACUUUUGAUGUAUGUCCUCAUAGAUGGUGCUUCAGAUGAAGAGCAAGCCCAAUUACCAGAAGACAAGCUCCCAUGUCAAAGUCAGACAGGGAAAGAACAUGUUCUCGACCAAAAGCAAGUACAAGGAGCUGAAACUAACAAGAAAAGUGCUUCUCUACAUCCACAGAGUGGCGGUUCAGAUUCACUUCUUUUGGUCUGCUUCGAGGAUGUGGUGCUUUUAUUUUCUCUGGCAUCAUUGAUUCAGGGAAGCAACAAGCAUCUACAUAAAACCAAGCUCACAAAAAAAUGCUGCUGGUCAGCAAUUUUUAAGAAUAAGGAUGAUAAAGCUUGUGGGUUGAUAUUAUUUUAUCAGACAGGCAUCAUAGAAUUGAGAUCUUUGCCAAGCCUAGAUAUUCUCGCUGAGAGCUCCUUGAUGGAAUUACUAAGAUGGAGUUACAAGACUGGCAUGGAUAAAACCAUGAGCUCCUCAAAUGGACAAAUUGCUCUGGUUAAUGGAUCUGAAUUUGCAAUCAUCUCUCUUAUAGCCUCAGAGAAUGACUUCAGGAUUCCAGAAUCAUUGCCAUGCCUUCAUGAUAAGGUACUUGCAGCAGCAGCUGAAGCAGCUAUGAGCAUCUCGACAGACCAGAAAGGAAAGCAGAAUCCAGCGGCAGGAGUUAUUGGUGGCAUUAUAAAAGGAUUAAAAGGCAAAGCGGAUGAAAAUGCAAACCUGAGAAAAAGUUUCAAUUCCCAAACCCCCAGUGAACUAUUGGAGUCGAUUUUCUUGAAAGGACCAUAUGUUGAACCAUCACUAGCUUAUCCUGAUGAUCCAAUAGAAGAACUGUCAAUUGAUGACAUAGAAAUUGAUGAUGAAGUGCCCCUAUCUCCUCCGCCAGCAUCAUCCUCUGCUUCCCACAUGAAUAAGAAAGCAACAGUAGAGGACGAGAGAGCGAAACUGUUUGAAGGAUCAAGUGAUGCUGACAAACCAAGAAUGAGAAGUACCCAAGAAAUUCUCACCAAAUAUAAGUUUGGCGGGGAUGCAACAGCAGCAGCUGCCCAUGCGAAGGAUAAGCUCAUGCAGCGGCAGGAGAAACUCGAGAGAAUAAGCCAGCGGACCGCAGAGCUUCAAGACGGGGCGGAAAAUUUCGCUUCACUUGCCCAGGAGCUCGCGAAAACAAUGGAGAACAAGAAGUGGUGGAAACUGUAA
Molecule: ribosomal RNA, 3357 nt
Filed under: Triticum aestivum (bread wheat)
Lineage: Eukaryota; Viridiplantae; Streptophyta; Magnoliopsida; Poales; Poaceae
Description: partial small subunit ribosomal RNA
Source: RNAcentral